GGCGGCACAGGCAAUUAGCUUUCGCAGUUCGCUGUCUGAAACAGUUUCAGUUGCAAGUUGUCCUUUGGGCAGUCACGUCGUCUAAUAACUUAACCAUCCCGCUUAAGCAACAUGUGGAGACAGCUGUGCGUAGCGGCGCUUCUGACCACCUUUCUCUGCGCAGCUGAGCACAGGCCAGAGAAUCGUCACGCGCGUUCGGCUGAUACAUUCUGGAUCAGCGGUCGGUAUGGGCGCUCCCUGCCCGCACUGACGGAGUUCACUGCGAGGAAUAACAGAUUCUUUUUAACCAAUCGAUAUGGGAAGAGAGCCGGGGCAUUCGGCGGUCGGUCGGCGAACCGGUUGACCGAUCGGUGGAAGAAGCGACUUGUAUGUGACUGCAUACCGAGCGAACAUUACAAGCGAAACGUGUACAGAGCAUCAGUGUAAACCAUGAUUUAAGUUUGUAUUGUUUCCUAUCUUCCGCUUACGAGACAACAAUACUUGAUAAUGGUUUUUACAGUUAGUGAGAAAAUUGUGCUGAAAUGUUUGCGCAAAUUAAUAUGUAAUCGUGUGUAUUCGCGCCUUCGUGCUAAUUUCCUAUUAUUUUAUUUUAUCAGUUUGUAUGAGGGUUUUGGGCUGGAAUUUACAUACAAACUGAAAACUCAUAUUCUUGUCGUCGUGUGUAUUAAUCAAUUAAAUAUAUUUCCCUCGACCAUAAUACAACACAAGUCGUGUGUUUAUAUAAUAACCCCAAAAGGCAAUCUGCAUGUAGUAAAGUUAGCAAAUUGAAUGUAUAAUAAAUUAUUACGUAUUAACUAAGAGACGUUAUUAUAAUAAAGAGAUUAAAUUGCA
Long non-coding RNA from Pieris napi, 831 nucleotides. RefSeq lists it as uncharacterized. NCBI's taxonomy places the organism in Eukaryota, Metazoa, Arthropoda, Insecta, Lepidoptera, Pieridae. The transcript has 5 exons. The record is from RefSeq and is a predicted model, not a curated record.